ACUCCUACGGGAGGCAGCAGUGGGGAAUCUUGGACAAUGGGCGCAAGCCUGAUCCAGCCAUGCCGCGUGAGUGAUGAAGGCCCUAGGGUCGUAAAGCUCUUUCGCCAGAGAUGAUAAUGACAGUAUCUGGUAAAGAAACCCCGGCUAACUCCGUGCCAGCAGCCGCGGUAAUACGGAGGGGGUUAGCGUUGUUCGGAAUUACUGGGCGUAAAGCGCGCGUAGGCGGACUAGUCAGUUAGAGGUGAAAUCCCAGGGGCUCAACCCUGGAACUGCCUUUAAUACUGCUAGUCUUGAGUUCGAGAGAGGUGAGUGGAAUUCCGAGUGUAGAGGUGAAAUUCGUAGAUAUUCGGAGGAACACCAGUGGCGAAGGCGGCUCACUGGCUCGAUACUGACGCUGAGGUGCGAAAGUGUGGGGAGCAAACAGGAUUAGAUACCCUGGUAGCG
This 444-nucleotide ribosomal RNA is filed under the name uncultured bacterium. RNAcentral describes it as "bacterial SSU rRNA". It matches the Rfam family "Bacterial small subunit ribosomal RNA", at positions 335 to 795 of the family's 1533-position model. The record is from RNAcentral.